AAUGGGCGAAAGCCUGAUCCAGCAACGCCGCGUGAGGGAUGACGGCCUUCGGGUUGUAAACCUCUUUCAGUAGGGACGAAGCUAACGUGACGGUACCUACAGAAGAAGCACCGGCCAACUACGUGCCAGCAGCCGCGGUAAUACGUAGGGUGCGAGCGUUGUCCGGAAUUAUUGGGCGUAAAGGGCUCGUAGGCGGUUUGUCACGUCGGGAGUGAAAACUCGGGGCUUAACUCCGAGCCUGCUUCCGAUACGGGCUGACUAGAGGUAUGCAGGGGAGAACGGAAUUCCUGGUGUAGCGGUGAAAUGCGCAGAUAUCAGGAGGAACACCGGUGGCGAAGGCGGUUCUCUGGGCAUUACCUGACGCUGAGGAGCGAAAGUGUGGGGAGCGAACAGGAUUAGAUACCCUGGUAGUCCACACCGUAAACGUUGGGCGCUAGGUGUGGGACUCAUUCCACGAGUUCCGUGCCGCAGCUAACGCAUUAAGCGCCCCGCCUGGGGAGUACGGCCGCAAGGCUA
This 516-nucleotide ribosomal RNA is filed under the name uncultured Actinomycetes bacterium. RNAcentral describes it as "bacterial SSU rRNA". It matches the Rfam family "Bacterial small subunit ribosomal RNA", at positions 370 to 896 of the family's 1533-position model. Lineage: Bacteria; Bacillati; Actinomycetota; Actinomycetes. The record is from RNAcentral.